GACAGAGGGUGCAAACGUUGUUCGGAAUUAUUGGGCGUAAAGAGCUCGUAGGCGGUCUGUCGCGUCGGAUGUGAAAAUCCAGGGCUCAACCCUGGACCUGCAUUCGAUACGGGCAGACUAGAGUUCGGUAGGGGAGACUGGAAUUCCUGGUGUAGCGGUGAAAUGCGCAGAUAUCAGGAGGAACACCGGUGGCGAAGGCGGGUCUCUGGGCCGAAACUGACGCUGAGGAGCGAAAGCGUGGGGAGCGAACAGG
Molecule: ribosomal RNA, 253 nt
Filed under: uncultured bacterium
Lineage: Bacteria
Description: partial 16S ribosomal RNA
Rfam family: Bacterial small subunit ribosomal RNA
Source: RNAcentral